ACUCUAAGCGGUGGAUCACUCGGCUCAUGGGUCGAUGAAGAACGCAGCAAACUGUGCGUCAUCGUGUGAACUGCAGGACACAUGAACAUCGACAUUUUGAACGCAUAUCGCAGUCCAUGCUGUUAUGUACUUUAAUUAAUUUUAUAGUGCUGCUUGGACUACAUAUGGUUGAGGGUUGUAAGACUAUGCUAAUUAAGUUGCUUAUAAAUUUUUAUAAGCAUAUGGUAUAUUAUUGGAUAAAUAUAAUAAUUUUUAUUCAUAAUAUUAAAAAAUAAAUGAAAAACAUUAUCUCACAUUUGAAUGUGAAAAACGAAGAGAAAUAUUUUCUUUUUCAAUCAAAUAAUACUGAGAAAUGUCUAGCAUAAAAAAUUGAAAUAUUUUUCAUCUAGAAUUGUCUCUUAUUAAUGAUUCGGAAAUAGAAAAAUCUUGGUUAUGUUAUUAUUCUUCGUUGGUUCGUUAAAAAUGGAUAAAUAAAAACUUUGCAUACAAGAAUUAAUAAAAAUGUUAUAACGAAUUUAAUUAAAUGUUUUAUCAUUAUAUAUAAAGAAUUUAUGGCAAGAUAAAGUUAUAUACAACCUCAACUCAUAUGGGACUACCCCCUGAAUUUAAGCAUAUUAAUUAGGGGAGGAAAAGAAACUAACAAGGAUUUUCUUAGUAGCGGCGAGCGAAAAGAAAACAGUUCAGCACUAAGUCACUUUGUCUAUAUGGCAAAUGUGAGAUGCAGUGUAUGGAGCGUCAAUAUUCUAGUAUGAGAAAUUAACGAUUUAAGUCCUUCUUAAAUGAGGCCAUUUACCCAUAGAGGGUGCCAGGCCCGUAUAACGUUAAUGAUUACUAGAUGAUGUUUCCAAAGAGUCGUGUUGCUUGAUAGUGCAGCACUAAGUGGGUGGUAAACUCCAUCUAAAACUAAAUAUAACCAUGAGACCGAUAGUAAACAAGUACCGUGAGGGAAAGUUGAAAAGAACUCUGAAUAGAGAGUUAAACAGUACGUGAAACUGCUUAGAGGUUAAGCCCGAUGAACCUGAAUAUCCGUUAUGGAAAAUUCAUCAUUAAAAUUGUAAUAUUUAAAUAAUAUUAUGAGAAUAGUGUGCAUUUUUUCCAUAUAAGGACAUUGUAAUCUAUUAGCAUAUACCAAAUUUAUCAUAAAAUAUAACUUAUAGUUUAUUCCAAUUAAAUUGCUUGCAUUUUAACACAGAAUAAAUGUUAUUAAUUUGAUAAAGUGCUGAUAGAUUUAUAUGAUUACAGUGCGUUAAUUUUUCGGAAUUAUAUAAUGGCAUAAUUAUCAUUGAUUUUUGUGUUUAUUAUAUGCACUUGUAUGAUUAACAAUGCGAAAGAUUCAGGAUACCUUCGGGACCCGUCUUGAAACACGGACCAAGGAGUCUAACAUAUGUGCAAGUUAUUGGGAUAUAAACCUAAUAGCGUAAUUAACUUGACUAAUAAUGGGAUUAGUUUUUUAGCUAUUUAUAGCUAAUUAACACAAUCCCGGGGCGUUCUAUAUAGUUAUGUAUAAUGUAUAUUUAUAUUAUUUAUGCCUCUAACUGGAACGUACCUUGAGCAUAUAUGCUGUGACCCGAAAGAUGGUGAACUAUACUUGAUCAGGUUGAAGUCAGGGGAAACCCUGAUGGAAGACCGAAACAGUUCUGACGUGCAAAUCGAUUGUCAGAAUUGAGUAUAGGGGCGAAAGACCAAUCGAACCAUCUAGUAGCUGGUUCCUUCCGAAGUUUCCCUCAGGAUAGCUGGUGCAUUUUAAUAUUAUAUAAAAUAAUCUUAUCUGGUAAAGCGAAUGAUUAGAGGCCUUAGGGUCGAAACGAUCUUAACCUAUUCUCAAACUUUAAAUGGGUAAGAACCUUAACUUUCUUGAUAUGAAGUUCAAGGUUAUGAUAUAAUGUGCCCAGUGGGCCACUUUUGGUAAGCAGAACUGGCGCUGUGGGAUGAACCAAACGUAAUGUUACGGUGCCCAAAUUAACAACUCAUGCAGAUACCAUGAAAGGCGUUGGUUGCUUAAAACAGCAGGACGGUGAUCAUGGAAGUCGAAAUCCGCUAAGGAGUGUGUAACAACUCACCUGCCGAAGCAACUAGCCCUUAAAAUGGAUGGCGCUUAAGUUGUAUACCUAUACAUUACCGCUAAAGUAGAUGAUUUAUAUUACUUGUGAUAUAAAUUUUGAAACUUUAGUGAGUAGGAAGGUACAAUGGUAUGCGUAGAAGUGUUUGGCGUAAGCCUGCAUGGAGCUGCCAUUGGUACAGAUCUUGGUGGUAGUAGCAAAUAAUCGAAUGAGACCUUGGAGGACUGAAGUGGAGAAGGGUUUCGUGUGAACAGUGGUUGAUCACGAGUUAGUCGGUCCUAAGUUCAAGGCGAAAGCCGAAAAUUUUCAAGUAAAACAAAAAUGCCUAACUAUAUAAACAAAGCGAAUUAUAAUACACUUGAAUAAUUUUGAACGAAAGGGAAUACGGUUCCAAUUCCGUAACCUGUUGAGUAUCCGUUUGUUAUUAAAUAUGGGCCUCGUGCUCAUCCUGGCAACAGGAACGACCAUAAAGAAGCCGUCGAGAGAUAUCGGAAGAGUUUUCUUUUCUGUUUUAUAGCCGUACUACCAUGGAAGUCUUUCGCAGAGAGAUAUGGUAGAUGGGCUAGAAGAGCAUGACAUAUACUGUUGUGUCGAUAUUUUCUCCUCGGACCUUGAAAAUUUAUGGUGGGGACACGCAAACUUCUCAACAGGCCGUACCAAUAUCCGCAGCUGGUCUCCAAGGUGAAGAGUCUCUAGUCGAUAGAAUAAUGUAGGUAAGGGAAGUCGGCAAAUUAGAUCCGUAACUUCGGGAUAAGGAUUGGCUCUGAAGAUUGAGAUAGUCGGGCUUGAUUGGGAAACAAUAACAUGGUUUAUGUGCUCGUUCUGGGUAAAUAGAGUUUCUAGCAUUUAUGUUAGUUACUUGUUCCCCGGAUAGUUUAGUUACGUAGCCAAUUGUGGAACUUUCUUGCUAAAAUUUUUAAGAAUACUAUUUGGGUUAAACCAAUUAGUUCUUAUUAAUUAUAACGAUUAUCAAUUAACAAUCAAUUCAGAACUGGCACGGACUUGGGGAAUCCGACUGUCUAAUUAAAACAAAGCAUUGUGAUGGCCCUAGCGGGUGUUGACACAAUGUGAUUUCUGCCCAGUGCUCUGAAUGUCAAAGUGAAGAAAUUCAAGUAAGCGCGGGUCAACGGCGGGAGUAACUAUGACUCUCUUAAGGUAGCCAAAUGCCUCGUCAUCUAAUUAGUGACGCGCAUGAAUGGAUUAACG
This 3266-nucleotide ribosomal RNA is filed under the name Acinetobacter baumannii. RNAcentral's name for it is "eukaryotic LSU rRNA". The stretch from base 573 to 3266 matches the Rfam family "Eukaryotic large subunit ribosomal RNA", at positions 1 to 2329 of the family's 3401-position model. Lineage: Bacteria; Pseudomonadati; Pseudomonadota; Gammaproteobacteria; Moraxellales; Moraxellaceae. The record is from RNAcentral.